GUAAAGCCGGAGGGUGCAAGGCAAGAAAUCCGGAAGAACCCCGAUCCUGGAAGACCUUGUGUAGGCCUCCAGAGUCUUCUCAAAAUCUAUCGUCAGAUUCAAACCCACUUGAUAUUAUCCGUAAGAAAAUAAUUCAAGGAUCAGAUACCACAGUUGUGUCCACAGCUCCCGAAGAUGAGCAAACACAUUGGCGUCAGACUAUAUUUUACUCCUCUGAUCCUAUAGAGGUGACACUGAGAUAAGAUGUUCUUAUUGUGAUGUUGAGCUUUUACUUCAUUCACAAGCUACUUUUGUGAGAAUGUGAGACUUAGAUGGUGUCAAUCAGAUUGAGUUUCAUGUUAUGUUAUAUCCAAGUGAAAUAUUGUUGCUGAUUUACAAUACUCUGCUCUUAUUGCAAUAUUGCUAUAAUAUUUCUUUUACCUGUAACAUUUCUGUGUGGUGUCACCAAAGACUACAAUUAUCAUUCAAUUUCAGCUAUUUAUCUCAAGAUAUUCCAAGCACUCACUUGGAUAAUCACAAUUAUUGGAGUGACCCAAAUGCUUUGGACACUGAAUGUCUUUUUGUGCCACAGAAAAUAAAUAAAAAAUUAAGAUUAGUUCUGUAAAUCUUUCUAACAUAUACUUCCUCAAUAGAAAGUAUUGCAUUUUGUACUCGUGAGAAACAGAUUGUGACUUCUGUUAUGCAAACCUACACAUGUAUGUAUAUGGUUUCAUUGUACGUUUGUGCCACAGAAUGGUUAGUUCCGUGCUCAACACGAGCUAAUGACUUUGGACCGGGUAAUUCAAAUUUACAAAUGCUAUUCAUUUUCCCAACUAAUUUUUAUCGUUGUUAUACAAAAUGCAAAUUGAUGCGGAUUUUACGGGAUCGUGCGCCAAGGCGCACAUAUAAAUCUAGUCUAAAGGUAUAAACGAUGCCCCACAUAGGGGGACUCACAUGGAUUUGAGAUUCUGGGCCAUCCGAUCUUACCAGCAGGUGUCAAAUGGGGGAUCUUGGCCGUUCAUUCUGGUCAGCAGCGCACACCUGCAUUUUUUUCCAUCCAUUCUCCUCCCUAGAUGAAGCCAUGGAACGGCGCUUUUCUACCCACUUGUGACUGACCGUGGGUCCCAUGUUCGAUCGGGUCCACUCGUCUGUUGUUGUGGGCUGAUUUUGGUUGGUCACGCAUCGUUGCGGGCCGUGGAAAAGAUCUUCAUCCAGCGGGGUAGUUUGGGGAUUUCGUUGCUCUCCACCCAAUCCCCACUUCCAUCGCCUUCCCCAAUCCCCGCGUCGUCCUCUCUCCCCAAUCCCCACAGGCCGCAGCUCGGAUGGAAACCCUAGCUGCCGGGCCGCGAAUCGUCGCGCGUCCAUCGUACCUCCCCGUCUCCACCUCUCCUUGGAACCGUCAGCUCGGGCGACGGGCGGCAGGGGCGGCACGGCAGGUCUCCGCAGGGACGGCGGGGGAGGGUAGCGCGUGCGAUCUCCCUCUGGAACCCCGCGGGCGACGGGCGGCGAGGCCGACCUACGGCAGGGGCGGCGCGGCCGGUCUCCGUAGGGACGGCAGAGAGGGCAGCGCGUGCGACAGGGGCCAGCGCCGGAGGGUGGCACGGCCGGCCUUCACCAGUGGCCGAAGAGGAUCUCGAGUACUGUCGCCACCACCCAUGGUUUGCUCUUCCCCUAUUUCUCUCCUCAUCGUCAAGAUUGAAGAGUGGGCUGGCAGGCAGAACGGCGCUGCUCAUCCAAUCCGCUCGAGGUCUCGCUGGGCAGGAGGACGACGAGCUGCAGACGGGUUGCCUCCUCGCUCUCCCCGCUCUCCUCUUCCCCAAUCCCCCGUGCCUCUCCUCCUCUAUCUCUUUGGCCCUUCUCCACUGCCACCCAUCUCCCAGUUUUCUUUAUGGCUGGAACAUGGAUAGGCAGAGGGAAGCGAAGCACCAUGGAUGCGGAGGCAGAGCUCGACGUGGAGGAGCAACUCCCCUUCGUCUCGGAUCUACAGCAGUUUAUCAAUGGUGAGUUGGUGCUACUGGUGGUGAGAGGCACAAAGACGGAGUACUUGGUGGAUCUGUAGCCGUACUACAUCACCGAAUCCUCGGUGUUGAUCGUCAUGGAAAAACACGUCUAGAGCAUGGAGUGAUGCCAUGAGUGUGUGGUGGAAAAUGGUAGCAAAGGAGUCGGCAUCAUCAUUGCGUGAGAUUGACCUCCGCCGCCCUUAGCUGUCACCACGUCCAGCGAGAGUGCCAUGACCCUCUCCUCCGACUGCAUCGGUUUCAGCCUCAUCUACCGCCUCAUGAUCGUUCGCGAGAAUGGUUAUUCGGGGCUGCUGUUGACCUACAGGUUGGUCGAAUUGUCUAUUUGUUUGCGUGUGGGUGUGUUUUCACUUAUGCUCACCUUCUUUUGUCAUUAGAUGAAAUAACUGUACUAUUAUGUGGAUUUUUCCUGUAACGAUGAACGAUUCUAGGUUUAUGUAAUGCGCUUGACGGUAGUACAGUGUUCAUGUUUCCAUUCGUUGGAAGCCAAAUUUAUUUCUGUUGGCUGAGAACUAUUGUUUGAUGUUGUAAGCAUACUUUUUUACCAACUAAACAGUUGCAUCCUCUCCCCAGUGGGCUUUUCUUGUGGAAUGGAAGGUAACCAGACUAACUUCGCUUAUAAAUUUUGUUGAAAGAGGAGUUUUACCUCAAUUUUAUUGAUGGAAUAUGUGUGCCCCCAACCUGGUCGCCCUCUAGCGGCUCAUGCAGCAUUUUGUUUGGCUUUGGUUUGUCAAGGUUAAGGAGGAUGGUGGCGUGCGGCGCGUUGUAUUGCCUCCGACACCUCUUCUCCUUUGGUUACUUGAUUUGUAAAUGAGCUCAAUCACUUUAUUCCCAAGUGUAUCGUGGACUAUGGGGAUGACCUUUGGAUAUGGUUAUGGGUGGGGAUGACUUUUGGACAAGGUCAUGGCCUUCUAAUAAUUACAACAGCAAUGAGAAUAGGCAUGUCAUUGCCUUUUUUAUGGUUUCGUAAUAGUUACAACAAGAAAGAGCAUGAGGUUUCCAGAAUAUACACAGAUGGCUGGAGAAAUGGCCCAGUAAAUCAGCUUUUGUUAGACUUGCUGGUGAAGGAGAUUGGUCCCAUCAAUUUAAGGAGUUGAAGAGUUAGCGGAUUAUUUGGACCGAAUUCUGAGUAUGUUGUAUUAUUGGCAUGUGACAGAAAUCGCAUAUUGUUAUCAUCUCUAAACAGUAGUAGAGUGUUCCCAGUGUAGCCCCUGGACCAAAAUACAUUGAGGAGCUGGUCAUUUUAGUACAGAGAGAUGAAGGCUUGAGAUAUGGGCUCAUCACCAUCAUUGGCCGCAAGAAUUUGCUCCCUAGAAGCGGAAAUGUCAGCAUGCAUAUUUUCCCAUCACGUGGCAAAUUGAUAAAAGCACAAUAUUUUGGUUGUCCAUGCAAUCCAGCAAUUGAAUGCACUAUUUUGCUCAUCCAUGAGAAGCAACCAAAGAUCAUACAUGCAGCACAUGUACUAUCGAUUUUCUCAGCGUGGGUGGCUUGCGGUCCAUGUUCAGGGGCUCGGUUGAUGAGAUCACCGCCGCGCCAGGCACCGGCAUCAAGGAUCUCAAAUAGGAAGGCUUCCAGGGAGCAGUUGUAUCUGCGGCUGUUUCCUUCCAGCCAAAGGACACUAGAAGUUUCGGUUUAUUUUCAGAUGUGUCCGCAGUUGUUUCCUAAAUCUCUUGGAAUUCAUACACCGUUCAGCCUGCACACAUCAGCUUCAUAUCAGCCUUUGCGGAAACAUUCAGCCUUGGAGGUGAUUUAAAUUCGACUGGAACAACUGAUGUCGAGUUUCUCAUCAGCAUAUUUCCCAAAGAGCAAAAUUGAAUAGCUAUUGAGUUUGUUUUGUCAACUGGUCCGCUUACUGUUUGACUACAGAAUUUACUACCGCCUGACGAUAUCUGGCCUUUGUUGGAACUGCUGCUUAUUAUCUGUAUGACUUCAUUGCGGCCUCCCAUGUUGUAGUAGAGCUUAGAUGAAUAACUUUGCAUCUUUCCACAAUCAGAAAUGUCGAUCACAUGCUCCAGCCUUGCUAUUUUGUUACUGAGCUACACCGUGAUACAUCAGAAUACACGGACAUGGUGACAUCCAGGUGCCUCUGCUAGACAGAUAUACCUACAAGCAUUCCGAGAUGUAUGAUGAUAAAAGUAAAACACAAAUUCAGAGAUGUGGUGAUUUAAUCUAACCAGAUAGCAUUGGAUAUGUAUUUUUGUGCUCA
Molecule: non-coding RNA, 4203 nt
Organism: Lolium perenne
Lineage: Eukaryota; Viridiplantae; Streptophyta; Magnoliopsida; Poales; Poaceae
Source: RefSeq, a predicted model, not a curated record